This is a long non-coding RNA of Oncorhynchus keta (chum salmon), 797 nucleotides long. RefSeq lists it as uncharacterized. NCBI's taxonomy places the organism in Eukaryota, Metazoa, Chordata, Actinopteri, Salmoniformes, Salmonidae. The transcript is spliced from 3 exons. The record is from RefSeq and is a predicted model, not a curated record.
GUGUGCGAGCAGAGGAUGUAGGUGGUGGUCUGUGAGUUGGCAGCGGCUGAGGUCCAGUUCUGAUAGCCCCUUUGAAUACUCCAGAACCAGGGCCAGAGAACGACAGGCCUUCUGAUCCAGCAUGAUCUCACUGAGGUCCAUCUCCCCGCCUAGGGCUCUGACCAGGGAUCCUGCAUGAUCUCACUGAGGUCCAUCUCCCCGCCUAGGGCUCUAAACCAGGGAUCCAGCAUGAUCUCACUGAGGUCCAUCUCCCCGCCUAGGGCUCUAAACCAGGGAUCCAGCAUGAUCUCACUGAGGUCCAUCUCCCCGCCUAGGGCUCUAAACCAGGGAUCCAGCAUGAUCUCACUGAGGUCCAUCUCCCCGCCUAGGGCUCUAAACCAGGGAUCCAGCAUGAUCUCACUGAGGUCCAUCUCCCCGCCUAGGGCUCUAAACCAGGGAUCCAGCAUGAUCUCACUGAGGUCCAUCUCCCCGCCUAGGGCUCUAAACCAGGGAUCCAGCAUGAUCUCACUGAGGUCCAUCUCCCCGCCUAGGGCUCUAAACCAGGGAUCCAGCAUGAUCUCACUGAGGUCCAUCUCCCCGCCUAGGGCUCUAAACCAGGGAUCCAGCAUGAUCUCACUGAGGUCCAUCUCCCGCCUAGGGCUCUAAACCAGGGAUCCUGCAUGAUGCACUGCAUUAUUCUUGUUACAAGUUUGUACAAGUUGAACCAAUAUGGCUUUACUGGGGCUGAGUCAGAGAGAAACGAGAGACAAGGUCAGCCAGUUUAGAUGAAGAGAUGCAACGUUUUUGAAAAGGCGAAA